CACGUUAUCUUUUUCUUAAGUAGUUGUUAAAAAGAAGAUAACUUGACCUUAGCGUUCACCGUAUUUGGAUAAACGGUAUUGCAAAAACUCCCUAAUAUCUAUACAAUAU
Trachymyrmex septentrionalis is the source of this 109-nucleotide long non-coding RNA. RefSeq lists it as uncharacterized. The transcript has 3 exons. NCBI's taxonomy places the organism in Eukaryota, Metazoa, Arthropoda, Insecta, Hymenoptera, Formicidae. The record is from RefSeq and is a predicted model, not a curated record.